This 301-nucleotide ribosomal RNA is filed under the name uncultured bacterium. RNAcentral describes it as "partial 16S ribosomal RNA". It matches the Rfam family "Bacterial small subunit ribosomal RNA", at positions 509 to 809 of the family's 1533-position model. The record is from RNAcentral.
CAGCCGCCGCGGGAAUACGAAGGGUGCAAGCGUUAAUCGGAAUUACUGGGCGUAAAGCGUGCGUAGGCGGUUUGUUAAGUCUGUUGUGAAAUCCCCGGGCUCAACCUGGGAAUGGCAAUGGAUACUGGCAAGCUAGAGUGUGUCAGAGGAUGGUGGAAUUCCCGGUGUAGCGGUGAAAUGCGUAGAGAUCGGGAGGAACAUCAGUGGCGAAGGCGGCCAUCUGGGACAACACUGACGCUGAGGCACGAAAGCGUGGGGAGCAAACAGGAUUAGAUACCCCCGUAGUCCCUGUCUCUUAUAA